GACGAACCGUGCAAACGUUGUUCGGAUUCACUGGGCUUAAAGGGCGCGUAGGCGGGCCAUCAAGUCAGGGGUGAAAUCUUUCGGCUCAACCGGAAAAGUGCCUUUGAUACUGGUGGUCUCGAGGGAGGUAGGGGCAUGCGGAACUUCCGGUGGAGCGGUGAAAUGCGUAGAUAUCGGAAGGAACGCCGGUGGCGAAGGCGGCGUGCUGGACCUCUUCUGACGCUGAGGCGCGAAAGCUAGGGGAG
RNAcentral lists this ribosomal RNA (245 nucleotides) under uncultured Gemmata sp. Its description in RNAcentral is "partial 16S ribosomal RNA". It matches the Rfam family "Bacterial small subunit ribosomal RNA", at positions 524 to 768 of the family's 1533-position model. Lineage: Bacteria; Pseudomonadati; Planctomycetota; Planctomycetia; Gemmatales; Gemmataceae. The record is from RNAcentral.